GACGAACGCUGGCGGCGUGCUUAACACAUGCAAGUCGAACGGAAAGGCCCCCACCUUGGUGGGGGUGCUCGAGUGGCGAACGGGUGAGUAACACGUGGGUGAUCUGCCCUGUACUUCGGGAUAAGCUUGGGAAACUGGGUCUAAUACCGGAUAGGACCAUGGUUUAGUGUCUCAUGGUGGAAAAAUUAUUGUUUUGGUGCAGGAUGAGCUCGCGGCCUAUCAGCUUGUUGGUGGGGUAAUGGCCUACCAAGGCGUCGACGGGUAGCCGGCCUGAGAGGGUGGACGGCCAAAUUGGGACUGAGAUACGGCCCAGACUCCUACGGGAGGCAGCAGUGGGGAAUAUUGCACAAUGGGCGCAAGCCUGAUGCAGCGACGCCGCGUGGGGGAUGACGGCCUUCGGGUUGUAAACUCCUUUCGUUAGGGACGAAGCCACACCUUUUUUGGGUGUGGUGACGGUACCUUUGUUAAGAAGCACCGGCUAACUACGUG
Molecule: ribosomal RNA, 489 nt
Filed under: uncultured bacterium
Lineage: Bacteria
Description: partial 16S ribosomal RNA
Rfam family: Bacterial small subunit ribosomal RNA
Source: RNAcentral